GCUGCAGAGCGCUCAGUGCAUGCGGCUCCCAGACAUGCAGCGGGGAGCCCGGCCGCUGCCGCAGCCAGUUCCGGGCAGUUCGGGGCCAGGUCUUCAUCCAACUCCUCUACCUGCACCGCCACACCCACUUCAUUAAUUUGGGGGGCGGCGGGCACCGAACAGGGACAUUUGCCCAGUGGCAUCUCUGGCUGCGCCUGCCUCUCCCGAGCCUAAAGCCUUCCCACCUCCUCCUCCACACGCACCUCCGCGCCCCCCGCCCACACCGCGAAGAAGGGGCGAGAAAGAAAUACGCAUUAAGAUCACAAGCCUUCCCGCACCAUCGCUCGCCCCCUCAACCACCUGUCUCUGCGCUCUCCUCCCCCACGGCCUUCCUCAACUCCGGGGCGCCCCCCCUCUGCAGCAGAGGGGGGCACCACGCCCACUGCGGAGCCCAGAAGCGGAAGGUCUUCACAGCUGUGUGGAGGCUUCAGUAGUAGCGGCUCUCGGCCCCAGAGCUCGGGCUCAGCAGUCACGGUGCUGGGCUUAGUCACCCUGGGGCAUGUGGAAUCUUCCCUGACCAGGGAUCACACCUGUGUCCCCGGCAUUGGCAGUAAUUAUCGAUGGCGAGAACUCUCACUUCUCUAUGGUGUCAGAGGGCUUUGAGAAGAGCUGGCCUCCAGCAGCCUGGCUCUCCAGCUUCAUCGCUAGUGAUUUCCUCUCCUCUCUCAUACUUUUCACAUGAACAUCCAGCUCCAGACAAGAUGAAGCAGAUCCACUUUCUCCCUCUUCCUCUGGUUAAGUGCUUCCUAACAUCCCGAACAUCACAGAUACAACAAACAUCUGAAAAGCAAAGCAAAGGCUAGGGACCCCAGGACUCAAGGAGUGACAUGGCACCGAGGUGGUAUCAACAGAGCCCGAGAUGGGUUGCUGAACUUCUGCUCUGGUCCAGCAAUAACGAGAAGCCUGCCACCCCUCAAGUGUCGACGGCUGCAUGGAGACCCUGGACUUUUACCCCCACCUGGCGGUAACCAGGAGGUCACCCUCCACCCCGCCCCACCCUGCCUGGCAGAGCAGUAGGAAAGGGGCCCUGCGGAAACAGAUCAGUCUCAGAACACAAUACCUGAAGUGUCCAAGAUGCAAUUUAAAAUCACUCAUGAUGCCAAGAACCAGGAAAAUUUCAACUUGAAUGAGAAGAGAUAAUUAGCAGAUGCCAACACGGAGAUGACAGAGAUGUUGGAAUUAUCUGACAAGGAUUUAAAAACAACCAUCAUCAACAUGCUUCACUGAGCAAUGGUAACAUUGCUCAAUAACUUAAAGGAACGAAUAGCAAGUCUCAGCGCAGAAAUAAAAGGUGGAAAGAAGGCUCAUAUCCUUUACUUGGGCCUUAAAAGCGCCACUCGUGUUUCCGGGAUGACCACCCUCACCUCGUGCCUGGGCCAAGGCGUCUGCCUCUUCUUAGAACACCCAUCUCUCCUUUUUAAAUCCUGCUUGUCCCGGGGGUCAGCUGAGAUGUCACCUCCUCUGCGAAGCCUUCUUUGACUUCCAUGCCCCUUCCUCCUGAAAGCUCCCCACGCCAUAGCACUCACACUCAACUCCAAUUAUUCUGUCCUCUCUCCCUCCACACCUACCCAGUGUAAAAACUUGCCAGAGAGACUGUGUCUUAUCCCAGGUGCCUGGUAUAGCACCUGGCUUAAGCACUCAGAAAACUGUUGAAUAAAUGAAUAAAUCUGUGAAUAAAUGGAAACUCUGCC
Molecule: long non-coding RNA, 1730 nt
Organism: Bos taurus (domestic cattle)
Lineage: Eukaryota; Metazoa; Chordata; Mammalia; Artiodactyla; Bovidae
Source: Ensembl